Molecule: ribosomal RNA, 250 nt
Filed under: uncultured Acidobacteriota bacterium
Lineage: Bacteria; Pseudomonadati; Acidobacteriota
Description: uncultured Acidobacteria bacterium partial 16S ribosomal RNA
Rfam family: Bacterial small subunit ribosomal RNA
Source: RNAcentral
UACGGAGGGGGCCAGCGUUGUUCGGAAUUACUGGGCGUAAAGGGCGCGUAGGCGGUCGAGUAAGUCAGACGUGAAAUCCCUUGGCUCAACCAAGGAACUGCGUCUGAAACUGGUCGGCUUGAGUCCGGGAGAGGGUAGUGGAAUUCCAGGUGUAGCGGUGAAAUGCGUAGAUAUCGGGAGGAACACCGGUGGCGAAGGCGGCUACCUGGACCGGUACUGACGCUGAGGCGCGAAAGCCUGGGGAGCAAAC